UUCCGAUCGUCCAGUCCUAGACCAAAAUACCUUCCUUAAGUUAUAUCACAUACAAACAAAUGGGGCUAAUUGAAUGAGAAUAGCAAUUUUAUACCUAACAAAGAAAGCAAUUUUAUACCUAACUGUCAUUUGAGCCUGCUUCGCGUGCUUUCUAGCUGCUGCUCACGGCUCACCUCACAGUCACGCUCGCGGUCUGCCGGGCUGCACUCGCACGUGCUGCGCACCCCGACGGCCUGGCCGCCCCGGCCUCUGGCCCAUCUCGCGCAGCCACUAUCGUCUUCAACUAAUGCAAUGAUUGUUGGGCGAUUUUACAUCCCCUGUUCUUUGCUAUUGUGGCCUUUUCUCCACUGUUGCUACCAACUUAAUGCAAUGAUUGUUGAUAUAUCAGGAGAUGCGGUUGGAUUCAGUGAAGGCCUAGUAAUCAGCUGAUUAUCAUGCAUAUGGAGGAGCGAAUGCUUCAAGGAGCUUGUUUGGUGGCCGGCUGCCCCCUCCAGUGAACCACCGCUCGUCCCCUCCACGCCCUAGCUGCUGCAGCAGAGUUCCUCCCGCCGCCGCCGUGCCCAGUGACGAUGUGGGCCAGCGUGCUAGCCCCGCACAUAUAGCACGGGCCUUUGCGAGGCGGCGCGGGAACGGUUACAGAGUGGAGGGCACCACAGCUCCCACGAACCACCGCUCGUCCGCUUGGUUGCCGCAGUUUGGUCGGAGGCGAAGACGACGACGAAGACGCGCUCGGCCACGGUGCACGGAGCGGACCAGAAGACAUGGUUCUUUACCGCGCCGGGCUCCGCAUGAAGCCAAGCAAGCACGCGGCUGCAUUGCGGCAAAGGUUGGUGUCUCCGGCAUCUGCAGGCCAGCUGCUCGAUGCUUUGCCUGCAAGAGUUACAUCCCCUGUUCUUGGCUGCUGCAUCCUUUUUCCCUCUUUUGCUAUCAAGUAUCAACCAUUGAUAUAUCAGGACAUGCUAGUGGAGGCGUAUUAAUCAGUUGAUUCUCAUGCAUACGGAGCACGGGAGGAGCGAAUACUUAAAAAGCUUGUGUGGUAGUUCUGCUAAGGAUACAUCAUCUAAUUUUCUGGACAUGGUCAGGAGGGUAGUCUACACUCUCCAGCUGAGUUUUUGUCAGUUAUUGUCAUAAAAAUAUAGAAAAAGUUGGGAAGUUGAACCUUUUUCCAACAUCUCACCGCAAGCGCAUGUGACAACUGCUGAAGUCCAGAAACUUGCACAAAGUCUAAUUGGAUAUUUGGGGCAGGCAAGUGUGCAUUAAUGAUAAAUGUGGAUUCGAUUAAUGGAAGGAAUGCUUGCCCUUUUUUUCGUAUAAAAUGUGAUCUUCAGUAUCUAGGUUUAUUUGGCGCAUUAAGCAUUCAAGAAGAAAUAGAGAGAGUUGUCUGCCCAACAUACAAAAAAAUUACAGAGAAGAGGACG
Molecule: long non-coding RNA, 1418 nt
Organism: Setaria italica (foxtail millet)
Lineage: Eukaryota; Viridiplantae; Streptophyta; Magnoliopsida; Poales; Poaceae
Exons: 3
Source: RefSeq, a predicted model, not a curated record